GACGAACGCUGGCGGCGUGCUUAACACAUGCAAGUCGAACGGAAAGGCCCUGCUUUUGUGGGGUGCUCGAGUGGCGAACGGGUGAGUAACACGUGAGUAACCUGCCCUUGACUUUGGGAUAACUUCAGGAAACUGGGGCUAAUACCGGAUAGGAGCUCCUGCUGCAUGGUGGGGGUUGGAAAGUUUCGGCGGUUGGGGAUGGACUCGCGGCUUAUCAGCUUGUUGGUGGGGUAGUGGCUUACCAAGGCUUUGACGGGUAGCCGGCCUGAGAGGGUGACCGGCCACAUUGGGACUGAGAUACGGCCCAGACUGCUACGGGAGGCAGCAGUGGGGAAUAUUGCACAAUGGGCGGAAGCCUGAGGCAGCAACGCCGCGUGCGGGAUGACGGCCUUCGGGUGGGAAACCGCUUUCGCCUGUGACGAAGCGUGAGUGACGGUAAUGGGUAAAGAAGCACCGGCUAACUACGUG
This 468-nucleotide ribosomal RNA is filed under the name uncultured bacterium. RNAcentral describes it as "partial 16S ribosomal RNA". It matches the Rfam family "Bacterial small subunit ribosomal RNA", at positions 28 to 507 of the family's 1533-position model. The record is from RNAcentral.